ACCUAAGAUCAUUCAUCAAAAACAUGAUCAUUUUUUCAACAUUGUGGACUUAGAAAAUUUUUGGUAAUCCUCCCAUUUUUUUUUCCUUUUAAGGGCUGCCCCCAAAAACCAAAAUCACACUUCCGCUCAAAAUUUUCCGCUUCCGAGAGCUUGGUAAUAUCCCAUAAUACCCCCGAGUCACUAAUCCAAGCACCCAAAGAUUUUCCGAGCAAAGCCUCUAAUUACGACAUUUUAAAUUUUUGGUUCUUUGAGACACAACCCACACCAAAACCAUUUUUACCCCAUUUUUACCCAAAUCUUUUUGCAUGGUAAUUCGCCCUAGGC
RNAcentral lists this long non-coding RNA (324 nucleotides) under Trifolium pratense (red clover). Its description in RNAcentral is "long non-coding RNA (TPRA_LNC012584)". The record is from RNAcentral. Lineage: Eukaryota; Viridiplantae; Streptophyta; Magnoliopsida; Fabales; Fabaceae.